Molecule: unclassified non-coding RNA, 1169 nt
Filed under: Hevea brasiliensis (rubber tree)
Lineage: Eukaryota; Viridiplantae; Streptophyta; Magnoliopsida; Malpighiales; Euphorbiaceae
Source: RNAcentral
GGAGGGGCACCUGUGGGCUAUUGCCCUAUCCAUAUCCAUUUAAUUUCCUGGAAAAUUGAAACUGCUAGCGCGCACUCUCUUCUUCUAUCUUCUCCAUGGCAGCAAUCCUCUCCCUCUCUUCAAAUGCUCCUCUCAAAACCACACCCUCCCUUCGUCACCCUUCUUCCCCAUUCAAGGGAAACUUGGCAAAUUUGAAGUUUACGAUCGGCAACUUCAUUCCUCUUAAACUCAACUUCAAGAGCAAUUCAAAUGGAAGACCGUCACUAGUAGUUACCAAUCAGGCAGCUAGCGCUGCUGUUGCAUCUCCAACUCCUAAUGUGAGGUUCAGGUUGGACAAUUUAGGCCCACAACCGGGGUCGAGAAAGAAGGGAAAGAGAAAGGGAAGAGGUAUUUCUGCUGGACAAGGCAACAGUUGUGGGUUCGGUAUGAGAGGUCAGAAGUCGCGCUCCGGUCCUGGUGUUAGAAAAGGGUUUGAAGGAGGCCAGAUGCCCCUCUACCGCCGCAUCCCCAAAUUGCGAGGAAUUGCUGGAGGUAUGCAUGCGGGUCGUCCUAAAUAUGUCCCUGUUAAUUUAAAAGACAUAGAAGCAGCAGGAUUUCAAGAGGGCGAAGAGGUGUCAUUGGAGACUUUGAAAGAGAAGGGCUUGAUCAAUCCAUCUGGAAGAGAAAGGAAACUCCCUUUGAAGAUUCUAGGUGAUGGGGAGGUAAGUGUAAAGCUGAACUUGAAGGCUCGGGCCUUUUCAGAAUCGGCCAAGGAGAAGCUUGAGGCUUCUGGUUGCUCUCUUACUGUGUUACCUGGGCGUAAGAAGUGGUUGAAACCAUCAGUUAUUAAGAACCUUGCUCGAGCUGAGCAAUACUUUGCAAAGAAAAAGGCUGCAGCUGCUGCAUCUGAGCCAGUCUCUACUUGAACCAUUUUCAUUAAUUUUUAUGUGUUUAAGACGGAGUAAAAUAGCACGUGGAGAUAUAAAGCUGGGUGCUUAUUAUUAUUACUGUUAUUUUCUGUUUGUUAGAUUUCUUAGUUGUCUGUCCCAGAAUGUGAUUUCCUGUUUCUGUAUCUGCAAUUCAUUCGAAGCUUUUCUAUAAUUUUGUUUAAAUUUCGAGUACUCCCCUCCCUCUCCCAAACAUGGUAUAAGCAUUCAACGAGGCGCCCAAAAUGCUGUAGGGUUUCUGCA